RNAcentral lists this ribosomal RNA (249 nucleotides) under uncultured Pectinatus sp. RNAcentral describes it as "partial 16S ribosomal RNA". It matches the Rfam family "Bacterial small subunit ribosomal RNA", at positions 796 to 1041 of the family's 1533-position model. The record is from RNAcentral. Lineage: Bacteria; Bacillati; Bacillota; Negativicutes; Selenomonadales; Selenomonadaceae.
CUGGCCGUAAACGAUGGAUACUAGGUGUGGGGGGUAUCGACCCCUCCCGUGCCGGAGUUAACGCAAUAAGUAUCCCGCCUGGGGAGUACGACCGCAAGGUUGAAACUCAAAGGAAUUGACGGGGGCCCGCACAAGCGGUGGAGUAUGUGGUUUAAUUCGACGCAACGCGAAGAACCUUACCAGGUCUUGACAUUGAUUGACCGGUAUAGAGAUAUACCUUUCUCCUUCGGGAGACAAGAAAACAGGUGG